AGAGUUUGAUCAUGGCUCAGGAUGAACGCUAGCUACAGGCUUAACACAUGCAAGUCGAGGGGAAACGACAUCGAAAGCUUGCUUUUGAUGGGCGUCGACCGGCGCACGGGUGAGUAACGCGUAUCCAACCUGCCCAUCACUUGGGGAUAACCUUGCGAAAGUAAGACUAAUACCCAAUGACGUUUCUAGAAGACAUCUGAAAGAGAUUAAAGAUUUAUCGGUGAUGGAUGGGGAUGCGUCUGAUUAGCUUGUUGGCGGGGUAACGCCCACCAAGGCGACGAUCAGUAGGGGUUCUGAGAGGAAGGUCCCCCANAUUGGAACUGAGACACGGUCCAAACUCCUACGGGAGCA
RNAcentral lists this ribosomal RNA (351 nucleotides) under uncultured bacterium. RNAcentral describes it as "bacterial SSU rRNA". It matches the Rfam family "Bacterial small subunit ribosomal RNA", at positions 8 to 349 of the family's 1533-position model. The record is from RNAcentral.